Molecule: unclassified non-coding RNA, 300 nt
Filed under: uncultured Leucosporidiales
Lineage: Eukaryota; Fungi; Basidiomycota; Microbotryomycetes; Leucosporidiales
Description: sequence contains 5.8S rRNA gene, ITS2
Rfam family: 5.8S ribosomal RNA (bases 1-71)
Source: RNAcentral
GUGAGUCAUCGAAUCUUUGAACGCACCUUGCGCUCCCUAGUAUUCUGGGGAGCAUGUCUGUUUGAGUGUCAUGAACUCUUCAACCCACCAGUUUCUUGUAAACUGGCUGGUGUUUGGAUUUUGAACGUUGCUGGUCUUCGGACGUAGCUCGUUCGUAAUACAUUAGCAUCUCUAAUUCGAAUUCGGAUUGACUCAGUGUAAUAGACUAUUCGCUGAGGACACUUUCAUUAGUGGCCGAACAAGAUAAUUGUAGAAGCUCCAAACCUCUAUAGUCAAUUUUAGAUUAGACCUCAAAUCAGG